Molecule: transfer RNA, 73 nt
Filed under: Camelus bactrianus (Bactrian camel)
Lineage: Eukaryota; Metazoa; Chordata; Mammalia; Artiodactyla; Camelidae
Also listed under: 2 other names
Rfam family: tRNA
About the family: Transfer RNA (tRNA) molecules are approximately 80 nucleotides in length. Their secondary structure includes four short double-helical elements and three loops (D, anti-codon, and T loops).
Source: Rfam by way of RNAcentral
GAGGGUACAGCUCAAAUGGUAGAGCACAUGCUUAGCAUGCACGAGGUCCUGGGUUCGAUCCCCAGUACCUCCA